Astatotilapia calliptera (eastern happy) is the source of this 3512-nucleotide long non-coding RNA. The record is from Ensembl. NCBI's taxonomy places the organism in Eukaryota, Metazoa, Chordata, Actinopteri, Cichliformes, Cichlidae.
UUUCCCUGGCCUUCUUUAAAUAAAAAAUCAAGCAAAAGCCCAGUUAGAUCAGCUAAUACUCAAUCUGAUGCGAUAUGCUUGCCUGUUCGGAGAGUCGAUGCUGGACGUUUUAACACAUGAAUAUUGUUUGUGUAAUGUAGUCAUAAUAUUUACGCGGGGACGCAAGAGGAGUGAGGUGGAAGCUCCUCCGAACUCUGAACACAGAAACUCGGACUGGGACUUGAGAUCGACUUCUGCAGGCACUUCUCCAUCGAAUGAUCGUGGAAUUGAAAAAAGACUCAAUCCCACACAGUGAGUUCGAGCCUGUUUGGUGCCCCACCCUGGAGUCCUGCACACCUCCCAGGGCCGGUCCAUCAUGGUCUGUCUAAUGCAGGCAAAGACAUCAAUAAUGAGAGCUGAAGCAGAAACCACAGCGGAGAACACAAAAGAGAGAGGGAGGGCGCACACAGGCCACAAUUGGCUCUGCUGCAGGCUAGAGUGGGCAGGCAUGCGGCUUUGGCCACAGGAAGCUGUGAAUUCUUUGGAGAAUGGAAGAUGUCUGAUGGAGAGACAUACUGGCCCUCCACCCACCCACUCACCACCUCAAAAUGACCCCUGACCCUUUUCAUGUGUUUAUAUCAGACCGUGGAAGUGAGAAAUAGUGAUGAGUCACUCUGGCUGUGUGUUUACACUCUGGAGUCACGCAAGGAAGGAAAUCAGCCACGGUCUGCUAAAAGUGGCGAGGUGAGAGAGAAUAGCUGCAGUCCCGAGUGCUGCAGUGAUUUACCUCAGAGCCAGAAUUUGCUUCGUGUCAUCUCUGCUGUGAAAACUUUCAACCUGCAGAAAAGCACAGUAGACCUUUGUGGAAGAAAAGGGCCAAAACAAGUAGUAGCCACUGGGGAUAGGUGUGCGUAUGAGAGAGAGAUACGGCAUAUUUCAGGAAACAUAACAGUUAGAAUAAGUAAGAUAAUUAUUUCAGCAGAAUGCAUCUCAUCGAGAUGUUACAGAGUUCUUAAUAUGUUGGACUUUUGUGUUCUGUUAGAGAUGACCACGUUUAAUUUAAUUGCACUUUAAUCAUUCUCACACCUCACUGUGUUUAAACGAAAACCUACACUCGCACACAUUCACUUUGUUUUUAAGAAGAGCUGUUUUUAAAACUCAUCACUGCACAUUUAACUGUGUUAUUCAUCUUUCACAAAUAUUUUUUUAGGAGUAUUAAAUAACUAACUAAAACUGCUAUUACACUUUCACCUGGCAUUGUUUUGAACCAGGAGUUUAUGCGAUUGAGUUUUUGCAGUCGAUGAUUUUCAAAAGAAAAAACAAAGCAGCAAACAUUUGAAAACCCUUAAUUACUUUGCAGCAUAUUUUAACAUUUUACUUGAAUAUUUCAAAUGAUCUCACCCUCCUAAUUGUCUCCAGGUUGGACAAUAUCCCAAAAAAUUAUAAGAUUAUUAAAAUACUUGAUGUAUAAAUGUGAUUUCUUUUAUUUUUAAAAGCAAAGCAGAUUACAUGAAAGCAAAAAAGAGUCCUUUCUAAUGACUACAGCGAUAUACGGGUGUGAAAAUAUUUCAUAAAAGUACAAAGUUAGCCGGGUUUCUGGGUGACAUAUUUUUACUGAUAUGCAUAAAACAAUUGAAAUCUGAAAUGUAAAUUUCUGGUGGAAGACAAACAUAACACUGUUCGCUGGUCUUACUUCAUCAUUGCCAUCAAAACCAGUUGUGUUGUGCUCAGGAAGCCUUUAUGUUCAGUGUACUGUAAGGUGUGUUUACUGUGGCUUCCACCAGUGUUUCAACCACAGUGUCAUUGUUGUCCUCCACUGUGCGUGACUUUAGCUUUUAAAUUGCACAACUGUUGUUUGCGAGACAGAGCUGUAGUUACUGCCGCUGUGCUCUGUAAAUAAAAAGUGACACUUUAUUUCUUCCUGUCAUUGCACUGGUGCAAGUACCUUCAUUGCUGACUGCACCGCGUAUCCUUUUACACACCCCCGUACACACCGCCACAAUGAGAGAGUCAGCAGCUCUUAUUUUGGCCGAUCUCUCCUGAAUUGUAAGUCCUGUCAGGGGUUUUGAUUGAUAGUUGCAUUUAUCACCAUAUUAUUAAGUAAUCAGGCUCACCACAGCUGGGCCUGAAGCUCCUUAAUUCUAGCUAAAGUACACAACUUCAUGCUAAUUAAAGGUUUGGUAAACCUGUUUAUUUUCGUGAAUUUUUAGAAUAUAGUUGUGUGUGUUAUUAUGUGUUUUAAGUGUGCUGAUUAUUGCAUUUGUAUGCUCUCAGGAACAUUUAGAGCCAAGCUUUACUGCUUCAUGUUCAUAAGAAAAACUGUGAAUAAUCACAUGUGGAGAGAAAUAAUUCAUGCUUCAUAUGCUGCAUGUAGAACGUAGAAUAUUCUGCAUUAGUAAAAAAAAUAUCUACAAAAUGACUACGAGGGAAUGAGACUAAAUUCUGUAAAUAACACAAGAGGGUGAAGCAGUCUGUGUUCUGUGGAUCAGGAGAGGUUUGGUCUCGUUUUCUUAAUAGAGCCUGCAGUGAGCUGCAUUUGUGUAUUCCUGAGGUAAACACAGUCAUGGCAAAGUGGACGCGCUGCUGAGUGUGUCCUGACUGGAGACAGAGAGCACUGUGGCACUGUACUUUCUGAGACGCUGGCAGCUCUCUCGAGGUAGGGUUAAUUUGAUGAAUGGCCAUUUGCUAAUGGGCCAUGUAUUAGGGUGAAAAAGCUCCUUUAAAAGCCAUAGUUUGAGUCGUUUCUAUGGGCAAUUUGAUUUAGGAAUCAAUCAAGUGGCAGAUGUUCCAUGUUGCAUCAGUCAACUUUGUCCUAUACGCUUGCUUUUUACUUGAUAUGAAUUGCUUGAAUGACUGUGUGCAGUAAUCAAAGCAGAACAUAAUUUCAUAUAAGUUAAAACAUCAGUGAGGCCAUACCUUGAUUUUAAAAAGCAAUUCGUUUUAGCUAUUGUAUAUGUAAACUGAAUAAUGUUAAAAAUGAAAUAUAUAAUCUUAUUUUUUCUUUACCACCUCCUUAAGACUUUAGUACUUGCAGCGUUAAGUUGUCCACAGGGAAGAAACGCAAGCUGGAGUUCCAAUAAAGUUAAUUUAUGUUUUCUGUAUAUUCUGAAUUUUUUUUGUGCAGUAAGCUAAAUACCUAAAGUGGAAAGACUGACAAAUAUAUAUACAUAAAGAUUUCGUUGUACUUAUCUGCAAUAACAGUAAAAAGCUUUGUUCUUUUUUGUCUCUUUAAUGCAGAUUGUGUGUGUGUGUGUGUGUGUGUGUGUGUGUCGCAAAACUGUAAUAAUAGUGACACUAAUAAUUAUAUAUAAAAAUAUUAAACCUAUGGCUGCUGGUGUUUGUGUAAUAAUUGAUCCCGUAUUUGUUACUAUGCUUCUGUUUUUAUAUGUUUUAUGAAAAAAAACUGAACGGCUAUUUUGCAAAAAUUGACAAAGUUUCCAUGUUUUCACCAAUAAAUGUCCAAUUUCUGCACAAACUUGAAAUGCUGGUUGUGCAUUUUUGAUAUUUACCCUCCUUUCUCUACUUACAAAAUC